UUUCACUACAACAAUUAUAUUUCUAACUACCAUAACAUUUAUCGUAUACUUGCUGAAUGCUUUACUAUUUAUCUUUGCAUUAGAAAGACUUCUAUCUUGUGCGAUCACACUUUUGAAAUUCUGAAAUAUAGUUGAUGCAUGGAUACUAGGAUUGUUAAUGCAUGCUUUGUGGACCUAUUCUAUCUUUUACGGUUUUACCUAAUUCUUAAGAAGUUCAGGCUGUGCCUUCUUAUUGAACUUGUUGAGCUGUAUAUGCGUACUUCUUUUCCCAUCUUUGUCAGUCAAUGUAGCAGUCGGUUGUGCUCCUAUUAAUACACUUUUUUAUGCCAUUUUUAUGUUUGAGUAUGCAAACAGAUUCUAGGGUAUGAUCGAAUAUCACGACUCAGUGGCACACAAGUAUUACCUCGUUGGUUUUCUACUGGAGCAUCCAAUGGAUCUUCUGUGCAGCAGGUGCAGGGAGGCACCUCCACAAAGGUGACUGCAUCCAGCCCAUUGGAAGCAACUAUUGCCAAACCCAGAAGCGGUCCACUGAGAAAUGAAAGCUUGAAAGUGAGGGCAAAUGAGAUAGUUACAAAUUCUACAUAUUACUUGAUCCCGACUCUCCUUCUCAUGUCAAGGAAUAGCGUCACCACUUCUCUUAUGGUCAUGUCAGUGUUCCAUCAAAUCUACAUGUUCCACAAGGGGAUCCUUCUGGAUUAUGUCCACAAUGAGGUUACCAGGAAGUGGGCUUUGAUAUACUUCAAGAUUCUCCUGCUGAUCAUGGCUAAGGACACAAUAGUCUACUUCGAUUUAGUCUAAGUUCUGCUAUGGUAGUUUCUCCAGAGACGCAUUAAGCGCCUGAAACAAUGAAAGACUAAUGUCCAACUGCCAGAUCUUCUGUUACUAUCUCUGUGUCUUUGCUGCCCAUUUUAUGCUUGUUACUAGGAUUGACUAGUGUCGUGUUGAAUAACUUCUGAGUAAAAUGUUCGGUUGCCCCCCUAAACCGAGCAAUGUUACAAUGGCGACAAGUUUAUGCUAGUUUUGUAAUAAUGGUAAAGAUUGACUCUUAUUUCUGUUGUAUUAUUGCGUAGCUUGCCAAAUUAUUCCUA
Panicum virgatum (switchgrass) is the source of this 1088-nucleotide long non-coding RNA. RefSeq lists it as uncharacterized. NCBI's taxonomy places the organism in Eukaryota, Viridiplantae, Streptophyta, Magnoliopsida, Poales, Poaceae. The transcript is spliced from 2 exons. The record is from RefSeq and is a predicted model, not a curated record.